AUGGCUGACCAUGGGAUUCUUCAUCAAACUUCAUGUCCGGACACCCCCCCUCAGAAUGGAGUGGCCGAACGGAAGAAUCGUCAUGUUCUUGAGGUCACUCGGUCGUUGAUGUUUACCAUGAAUGUGCCUAAGUUCUUGUGGGAUGAUGCAGUUAUGACAACCACAUACUUGAUCAACCGAACACCUUCCAGGAUACUUGGCAUGAAAUCUCCGUCUGAGUUGAUCAUUGGAGAUAAUAAGUUUGUUGUUCCCCCAAAGUUGUUUGGCAAUACCUGCUUUGUUCGUGAUCACCGACCAUCUGUUGGCAAGCUUGAUCCUCGGGCAGUGAAGUGUGUCUUUCUGGGAUACUCGUCUAGUCAGCAGGGGUAUAAAUGUUGGUGUCCCUCUGAAAAACGCAGAGCUUGA
Molecule: ribosomal RNA, 405 nt
Filed under: Triticum aestivum (bread wheat)
Lineage: Eukaryota; Viridiplantae; Streptophyta; Magnoliopsida; Poales; Poaceae
Description: partial small subunit ribosomal RNA
Source: RNAcentral